GGGGAAUUGUUCGCAAUGGGCGCAAGCCUGACGACGCAACGCCGCGUGGAGGAUGAAGGUCUUCGGAUUGUAAACUCCUGUUGAUCGGGACGAACAUCCAUCGGGAUAACACCCCGGAGGACUGACGGUACCGGUUGAGGAAGCCCCGGCUAACUCUGUGCCAGCAGCCGCGGUAAUACAGAGGGGGCAAGCGUUGUUCGGAAUUACUGGGCGUAAAGCGCACGUAGGCGGCUUUGCAAGUCGGGUGUGAAAUCCCCGGGCUCAACCUGGGAACUGCAUCCGAGACUGCUUUGCUCGAGUAUGGGAGAGGGAAGUGGAAUUUCCGGUGUAGCGGUGAAAUGCGUAGAUAUCGGAAGGAACAUCAGUGGCGAAGGCGACUUCCUGGACCAAUACUGACGCUCAGGUGCGAAAGCGUGGGGAGCAAA
Molecule: ribosomal RNA, 425 nt
Filed under: uncultured bacterium
Lineage: Bacteria
Description: bacterial SSU rRNA
Rfam family: Bacterial small subunit ribosomal RNA
Source: RNAcentral